Molecule: ribosomal RNA, 470 nt
Filed under: Lumbricus friendi
Lineage: Eukaryota; Metazoa; Annelida; Clitellata; Crassiclitellata; Lumbricidae
Description: partial 16S ribosomal RNA
Rfam family: Bacterial large subunit ribosomal RNA
Source: RNAcentral
UGCUCUUAGUAACCUCAAUUAAGAGUAACUCCUGCCCAGUGAAUAAUUUCAACGGCCGCGGUAUCCUAACCGUGCAAAGGUAGCAUAAUCACUUGCCCAUUAAUUGUGGGCUAGAAUGAAAGGAUAAACGAAAUAAAUACUGUCUCUAUAAGUCAUUUAAAAAUUACCCUCUAACCGAAGAGUGUUAGAUAUAGUCGAAGGACAAGAAGACCCUAUAGAGCUUAAUUAAAUUAAAUACUAAAAAUUUACUAAAAUUCGGUUGGGGCGACCAGGGAAAUUACUUAUCAUCCCUAAACUAAAGAUAAAUCAAUCAAAAUUCUGACCCUUAUACAAGAUCAUUAAAUCAAGCUACCUUAGGGAUAACAGGCUAAUCUCACUAGAGAGUCCUUAUCAAUAGUGAGGAUUGGCACCUCGAUGUUGGCUUAGGGAAUCUCUAUGACGCAAAAGUCAUAUAAAGAUGGUUUGUUCAA